AACGAACGCUGGCGGCGCGCCUAAUACAUGCAAGUCGAGCGAGAAGACGUAGCAAUACGUUUGUAAAGCGGCGAACGGGUGAGGAAUACAUGGGUAACCUACCCUCGAGUGGGGAAUAACUAGCCGAAAGGUUAGCUAAUACCGCGUACGCUCCUUGGACUUCGGUUCAGGGAGGAAAGCGAUACCGUGGGUAUCGCGCUCUUGGAUGGGCUCAUGUCCUAUCAGCUUGUUGGUGAGGUAACGGCUCACCAAGGCUUCGACGGGUAGCUGGUCUGAGAGGACGAUCAGCCACACUGGCACUGCGACACGGGCCAGACUCCUACGGGAGGCAGCAGUAAGGAAUAUUGCGCAAUGGGCGAAAGCCUGACGCAGCGACGCCGCGUGGGGGAUGAAGGUCUUCGGAUUGUAAACCCCUUUCGGGAGGGAAGAUGGAACGAGCAAUCGUUCGGACGGUACCUCCAGAAGCAGCCACGGCUAACUUCGUGCCAGCCGCCGCCG
Molecule: ribosomal RNA, 498 nt
Filed under: uncultured bacterium
Lineage: Bacteria
Description: bacterial SSU rRNA
Rfam family: Bacterial small subunit ribosomal RNA
Source: RNAcentral